CAUAUUUACAUGAUAAAAUACUGGAUAGUAGUCAAAAUGAGGAAAUUGCAGCAAUGAAAAUGAAAGUACAAUACUGUACAAGUACAAUACUGAGCUGAAGAAGCCACAAAAGAAUAUGUGGUGUGAUUCCAUUUGCAUAAAAUUCAGAAAGAGGCAAAAAUACUGGAAAGGAGACCAAAUCUGUAAAGAAAGACUGUGGCUACACUUGGGGGGUUGUUACUGGAAAGGGCAUGAAGGAUGCUUCUUCAGUUGUGCAUAUGUUUUAUUUCUCGUAAGUUUUAUUUUUUAAAUUCUAUUUUUUAUUAUUGUUAUUAUUAUUACUAUUUGGCUGUUUGGAGAUUGAACCCAGGACCUCAUGCAUGCUAGGCAAGUGCUCUAUCACUGAGAUAUGCUCUCAACUCCAGUAUUAUUUUAUUUUUAAUUGACAAAUAUCAAUUGUAUGUAUUUAUGGGAUACAGUGUGACGUUUUGAUUCAUGUAUACAUUGUGGAAUGAUCCCCUGGACUAAUUAGCAUAUCCAUCAUCUCAAAUAUUUAUCAUUUAUUUGUGAUGAGAAUAUUCAAAAUCCUCUCCUUUGGUAUUUUGAAGUAUACUUUACUUUUCCCUAUGGUCACUUUCUGCCCACUAGAAUGCCAGAUCUUAUUUCUCCUAUCCAACUGCAACUUAGGACCAUCAGUCAACCUUUCCCAUUCCCCACCAAUCUCCACAGCCUCUGAUGACCACCAUUUUACUCUCAAAUUCCAUGAAUUCAAUGUUUUUAUAUUUCACAUGAGUAAGAUCAUACGCUAUGUGACUUUCUGUUCCUGGUUUAUUUUACUUAACAUAACAUACUAGUCAGAUUUUAUCACUGUGACCAAAAUAGCUGACAAAAACAGCUUAGAGGAGGGAAAGUUUAUUGUGGCUUAGUUCCAGAAGUUUAGUCCAUGAUUGGCCAAUUCCAUUGCUCUGGGCUUAAGGUGAGGCAAAACAUCAUGGCAGAAGGAAUUGGUGGAGGAGUGCUUCUCAGCUCAUGGCAGC
RNAcentral lists this long non-coding RNA (1016 nucleotides) under Marmota monax (woodchuck). The record is from RNAcentral. Lineage: Eukaryota; Metazoa; Chordata; Mammalia; Rodentia; Sciuridae.